UCCCCGUUUUCCAGCCGGAGAGUCCCGGGAAACUCCUGCGCGGCCGGGCAGGGCAGGGUCGGGGCCGGGGGGCUCCGUUCGGGACUCUCAGGUGCGCAGGGAAAGCGCUGCGCGGGGUCUGCGCGGGAUCUGCGCGGCAUUUCCACCCCCGCCCUGCCCGGGCUGGAACCCCCGCGCUGAUUUAUUUUCCAUGCGGGAACCCUCCCCAGAGCCGGCAGCAAGGGGAUGCCGGGGCUCAGCACACAUUUACACACCAAACUCCUGGCAUAUCUCACUGGGACACGGAUUUGACCAGGGAAAAGAUCUCAGAAGAAAUGAAGGGGUGCAGAUACAGCUGCCAAAAGCCCAAGCUCUGCAUCCAGCCUGGACACCUGGUUGGAAGCCACCUCCUUCUCCAGCUGCUGACCUUUCUCCAGUGCCAGUUCUGGUGUGGGCAACACCUGCAGCCUGACUGGGGAGUGGAAAGUGGCUAUCCCAACUUCCAAAGUCUGAUAGCUGUAAUCUGAAUUGAAUGUCCAGGUGCUCCUGCCUGUGGGACAAUGUCCAGCCUGCUGCCCAUCCUCUGGAAUGUCAUUGCACAGGAUGAUGGUUCACUGUCCAUGGCAGGAGGGCUGGAACUAGAUGUUCUGUCAGGUGCCUUCAAACCCAAAGCCUUCCAUGAUCCCUUGUGGCAAGAAAUGGACGGAGAACCGGGCAGGGGAAAGAAAUUUGGGGUUGUCUCUUGCUCCUAGGCAGGAUCAGCCCCACCUCUGCAGGUUUAAUUCUCCUUACAAAGAGAAAUUAAUCAAAUUUUAUGAACAUGUUCAUAAUCAGAAGAGCAUAAGCUCAUGGUUUCGAGGUGACUGGCAGGUCCUGGCCAGCAUUGAUGGAAGCCAGCUGAGGGCAUGGAGUGUGAACCUUUAUCUCUGCUGACAUGACAUAUUAUUAAAAAGUAUUUCGAGUAAUCUUUGAUUUCCUCAGCAUUGCAACACAUUUCAAGAACUUGGCCGGGGAUCAACUGAGCCUUUUUAAUUUCCUACACUGAAAAAUAAAACAAAAACCAAGCCCGAUUGAGAUGAUAUAAUCAGGAACAUUUUGAGGGUUUAGGUCAAAUUAAUGUGUCAGAGAAGGGUUUUCAGGGGACUUGGGGAGCUUUAAUCUGUCAAAGGCUGACUCAGAGCCUGCUUGGGCUUUGUAAUCUUAUUGUCUUUAUGGAAUUAUGGGAUGGAAUGUCCUGAAUUACCAUCAUCAGAGAGUCUAGCAAAUAAUCAGUUGGCAUAAAGUUCAGAAUAACUAAGUUAAUUUUAAAGCAAGUGUUGCACAAUAUGCCAGAAAUGUUUGCUUAACUUGGAAAUGAUCUUUUAAUGCUGUCCCUUAAUGUGUGAAAGCACUCAGGUAACCUCCAACCCCAGCCUGGUCCAGCCACUUUUGGGGCAGAUUUUAGGAGAUGGAACUCUUUUCAAGCCGUGCUCAAUUUUGCCAAGAUUUGUUUUGCAUUUACCAAAACAAAAGAAAAAAAAAUAAACAAAGCAAACCAAAUCUGCUUUUUGGCUUAGGGGGGUAAUAUUUUAAUAUCACCUGAACUCAAUUAUGCAUCUAAUACUUGUCUCUUUUAUAUCUCUGUCCAUCAUGAAUUUAUAUAGAGCUGCAAUUAUAAAUUUGGUAUGUGGAUAUAUUUGGUUCUAAUGGAUACAUUCAAGGAUUGUUCAGGCUAAACUCAAGGGUGAUUCAUUCUUUGCUCCACAAAUUAUUAGGAAGAAAAUAUUUAUGCAUUUAAUAUUUGGGAAAAUCCUGAUUUCCAGCCCUGCAGUCUCUGAUCAGAGAGGUGCAGCCCCAUUACUCAAACCUGGCUCCCAGGAGAGCCUCAGCCCCUGCUUCUCCAGGGUUAAUGAAGUGAUGAGUAGUCGAGUUUACAACUGGGUGUGCAUGCAUCUCCCUUCCCACCGGGUGUGUGUGAGGUGGGACACUCUGAGCAGUAUUUUGGGUGGUGUAGCUCCUCUCCUCUUGCAGGGAGCAAAGCAGAGGAUCCUGGGCUGUUCCCAUGUUCCUGAGUGCUCUUCCCA
This is a long non-coding RNA of Zonotrichia leucophrys gambelii, 2042 nucleotides long. RefSeq lists it as uncharacterized. Lineage: Eukaryota; Metazoa; Chordata; Aves; Passeriformes; Passerellidae. The record is from RefSeq and is a predicted model, not a curated record. The transcript has 3 exons.